UGGGGAAUAUUGCACAAUGGGCGAAAGCCUGAUGCAGCGACGCCGCGUGAGUGAAGAAGUAAUUCGGUAUGUAAAGCUCUAUCAGCAAGGAAGAUAAUGACGGUACUUGACUAAGAAGCCCCGGCUAACUACGUG
This 135-nucleotide ribosomal RNA is filed under the name uncultured bacterium. RNAcentral describes it as "partial 16S ribosomal RNA". It matches the Rfam family "Bacterial small subunit ribosomal RNA", at positions 355 to 507 of the family's 1533-position model. The record is from RNAcentral.